CAUGCGCAUUCUCGUCUGCGGAGGGCGUCACUUCGAGGACGCCGAGAAAGUCCAUCGUGAGCUCGUCCGGCUGCAUUGGCAAAGGCGCAUCACGGUUCUCAUUCACGGCAGCCNCGGCAUCGCGGCCGAAGAGUGGGCGCGUCGCAACGACGUCGCCGUCGUGCGCUAUCCGCCCAAUUGGGAGCUGUAUGGCAAGAAGGCCGAGGGGCGGCGCAACGAUUUUAUGCUUGAGGA
Molecule: unclassified non-coding RNA, 234 nt
Filed under: Hevea brasiliensis (rubber tree)
Lineage: Eukaryota; Viridiplantae; Streptophyta; Magnoliopsida; Malpighiales; Euphorbiaceae
Source: RNAcentral